Molecule: long non-coding RNA, 209 nt
Filed under: Lathyrus oleraceus (garden pea)
Lineage: Eukaryota; Viridiplantae; Streptophyta; Magnoliopsida; Fabales; Fabaceae
Description: Pisum sativum (pea) long non-coding RNA (PSAT_LNC020701)
Source: RNAcentral
UUGUAACCAAGAGCGCUUAACUCAGUUGGUAAGGGGGUUGCCCCCAUGACUCCAAGGCUAUGGGUUCAACCCUCAGUGCCCCCCAUGUGAUGUUUUCUCUUUUUUAUUCUUUUUCCUUUUUAUUAUUUUUGAACCUAUUUAUUUUCAUUUUCAUUUUUUCACCCUUUAUUUUAAUUAUGAUUAAAAUAUUUCCAAUGCAAACCCUCAUU